This 484-nucleotide ribosomal RNA is filed under the name uncultured bacterium. RNAcentral's name for it is "partial 16S ribosomal RNA". It matches the Rfam family "Bacterial small subunit ribosomal RNA", at positions 30 to 507 of the family's 1533-position model. The record is from RNAcentral.
AUUGAACGCUGGCGGCAUGCCUAACACAUGCAAGUCGAGCGGAUGAAGGAAGCUUUCUCCUGUCUUCAGCGGCCGACGGGUGAGUAAUUCCUAGGUAUCUACCUUGUCUUUGGGGAUAACGUCCCUUCACGGGCCCUAAUACCGCAUCCGUCCUUAUGUUGAAACUGAUGGAUCUUUGGACCUCGCGCUAUCUGCUGACCCUAGGUCGGAUUAGCUAGUUGGUUGGGUAAAGGCCUACCAAGGCGACGAUCCGUAACUGAUCUGAGAGGAUGAUCAGUCACACUGGAACUGAGACACGGUCCAGACUCCUACGGGAGGCAGCAGUGGGGAAUAUUGGACAAUGGGCGAAAGCCUGAUGCAGCAAUGCCGCGUGUGUGAAGAAGGUCUUCGGAUUGUAAAGCACUGUAAGUAGGGAGGAAGGGAAGUAAGAGAAUACCUGGAUGUCUUGACGUUACCAACAGAAAAAGCAACGGCUAACUUCGUG